GACGAACGCUGGCGGCGUGCCUAAUACAUGCAAGUAGAACGCUGAAGAGAGGAGCUUGCUCUUCUUGGAUGAGUUGCGAACGGGUGAGUAACGCGUAGGUAACCUGCCUGGUAGCGGGGGAUAACUAUUGGAAACGAUAGCUAAUACCGCAUAACAACAGUUGUUGCAUGACAGCUGUUUAAAAGAUGCAAUUGCAUCACUACCAGAUGGACCUGCGUUGUAUUAGCUAGUUGGUGAGGUAACGGCUCACCAAGGCGACGAUACAUAGCCGACCUGAGAAGGUGAUCGGCCACACUGGGACUGAGACACGGCCCAGACUCCUACGGGAGGCAGCAGUAGGGAAUCUUCGGCAAUGGGGGGAACCCUGACCGAGCAACGCCGCGUGAGUGAAGAAGGUUUUCGGAUCGUAAAGCUCUGUUGUAAGAGAAGAACGGGUGUGAGAGUGGAAAGUUCACACUGUGACGGUAUCUUACCAGAAAGGGACGGCUAACUACGUG
This 497-nucleotide ribosomal RNA is filed under the name uncultured bacterium. RNAcentral describes it as "partial 16S ribosomal RNA". It matches the Rfam family "Bacterial small subunit ribosomal RNA", at positions 28 to 507 of the family's 1533-position model. The record is from RNAcentral.